AUCCUGGCUCAGAUUGAACGCUGGCGGCAUGCCUUACACAUGCAAGUCGAACGGUAGCGGGCCUUCGGGUGCCGACGAGUGGCGAACGGGUGAGUAAUGCAUCGGAACGUGCCAUUGAGUGGGGGAUAACGUAGCGAAAGUUACGCUAAUACCGCAUAUUCUGUGAGCAGGAAAGCAGGGGACCGCAAGGCCUUGCGCUCUUUGAGCGGCCGAUGUCAGAUUAGCUAGUUGGUGAGGUAAAGGCUUACCAAGGCGACGAUCUGUAGCGGGUCUGAGAGGAUGAUCCGCCACACUGGAACUGAGACACGGUCCAGACUCCUACGGGAGGCAGCAGUGGGGAAUUUUGGACAAUGGGGGCAACCCUGAUCCAGCCAUGCCGCGUGAGUGAAGAAGGCCUUCGGGUUGUAAAGCUCUUUCGGCCGGGAAGAAAUCGCAUGGGUGAAUACCCUGUGUGGAUGACGGUACCGGAACAAGAAGCACCGGCUAACUACGUG
RNAcentral lists this ribosomal RNA (494 nucleotides) under uncultured bacterium. RNAcentral's name for it is "bacterial SSU rRNA". It matches the Rfam family "Bacterial small subunit ribosomal RNA", at positions 16 to 507 of the family's 1533-position model. The record is from RNAcentral.